AAGCGGCAACAGCUCAAAUUUGAAAUCUGGCGCAAGCCCGAGUUGUAAUUUGUAGAGGAUGCUUCUGGGCAGCGGCCGUUCUAAGUUCCUUGGAACAGGACGUCAUAGAGGGUGAGAAUCCCGUAUGUGACCGGCACGUACCCUUUACGUAGCUCCUUCGACGAGUCGAGUUGUUUGGGAAUGCAGCUCUAAAUGGGAGGUAAAUUCCUUCUAAAGCUAAAUACCGGCCAGAGACCGAUAGCGCACAAGUAGAGUGAUCGAAAGAUGAAAAGCACUUUGGAAAGAGAGUUAAAAAGCACGUGAAAUUGUUGAAAGGGAAGCGCUUACAACCAGACUUCGUGGCGGUGUUCCGCCGGUCUUCUGACCGGUCUACUCGCCGCCGCGAGGCCAGCAUCGUCUGGGGCCGCCGGAUAAGACCUUGGGAAUGUAGCUUGCCUCGGUAAGUGUUAUAGCCCAGGGUGAUGCGGCGCGCCUCGGGCGAGGUCCGCGCUUCGGCAAGGAUGCUGGCGUAAUGGUUGUCAGCGGCCCGUCUUGAAACACGGACCAAGGAGUCUAACAUCUAUGCGAGUGUUCGGGUGUCAAACCCCUACGCGUAAUGAAAGUGAACGGAGGUGGGAAGCGCAAGCUGCACCAUCGACCGAUCCUGAUGUCCUCGGAUGGAUUUGAGUAAGAGCAUAGCUGUUGGGACCCGAAAGAUGGUGAACUAUGCCUGAAUAGGGUGAAGCCAGAGGAAACUCUGGUGGA
Molecule: ribosomal RNA, 744 nt
Filed under: Phaeophleospora eugeniicola
Lineage: Eukaryota; Fungi; Ascomycota; Dothideomycetes; Mycosphaerellales; Mycosphaerellaceae
Description: eukaryotic LSU rRNA
Rfam family: Eukaryotic large subunit ribosomal RNA
Source: RNAcentral